AUACGUAGGGGGCUAGCGUUAUCCGGAAUUACUGGGCGUAAAGGGUGCGUAGGUGGUUUCUUAAGUCAGAAGUGAAAGGCUACGGCUCAACCGUAGUAAGCUUUUGAAACUAAGAGACUUGAGUGCAGGAGAGGAGAGUAGAAUUCCUAGUGUAGCGGUGAAAUGCGUAGAUAUUAGGAGGAAUACCAGUUGCGAAGGCGGCUCUCUGGACUGUAACUGACACUGAGGCACGAAAGCGUGGGGAGCAAACAGGAUUAGAUACCCUGGUAGUCCACGCCGUAAACGAUGAGUACUAGCUGUCGGGGGUUACCCCCCUCGGUGGCGCAGCUAACGCCUUAAGUACUCCGCCUGGGAAGUACGCUCGCAAGAGUGAAACUCAAAUGAAUUGGCGGGG
Molecule: ribosomal RNA, 394 nt
Filed under: uncultured bacterium
Lineage: Bacteria
Description: partial 16S ribosomal RNA
Rfam family: Bacterial small subunit ribosomal RNA
Source: RNAcentral